GACGAACGCUGGCGGCGUGCUUAACACAUGCAAGUCGAACGGAAAGGCCCUGUUUGCAGGGUACUCGAGUGGCGAACGGGGGAGUAACACGUGGGUGAUCUGCCCUGCAUUUCGGGAUAAGACUGGGAAACUGGGUCUAAUACCGGAUAGGAGCCAUUUUUAGUGUGAUGGUUGGAAAGUUUUUUCGGUGUAGGAUGAGCUCGCGGCCUAUCAGCUUGUUGGUGGGGUAAUGGCCUACCAAGGCGGCGACGGGUAGCCGGCCUGAGAGGGUGGACGGCCACAUUGAUACUGAGAUACUGCCCAUACGCCUCCAUGAGACAGCAGGUGAGAAGAUUUCACAAUGGGCGCAAGCCUGAUGCAGCGACCCCGCUUGGGGGAUGACGGCCUUCGGGUUGUAAACUCCUUUCGCUAGGGACGAAUCUUUUUGUAACGGUACCUAGAUAAGAAGCACCGGCUAACUACGUG
Molecule: ribosomal RNA, 465 nt
Filed under: uncultured bacterium
Lineage: Bacteria
Description: partial 16S ribosomal RNA
Rfam family: Bacterial small subunit ribosomal RNA
Source: RNAcentral